RNAcentral lists this long non-coding RNA (362 nucleotides) under Equus asinus (donkey). RNAcentral describes it as "lncRNA (ENSEASG00005023605.1)". The record is from RNAcentral. Lineage: Eukaryota; Metazoa; Chordata; Mammalia; Perissodactyla; Equidae.
CACACGCUCUACACGGAGGUAGAAUUCCCAUCCCACCGAAUCCAUCCUUUCCACGGGGCACAAGCCAGUGGCCUUCGGGAGUCUCUCUCCCCAAGGUGGCGCAUCCGUCAUGGCUAUCUAUUUCCAGAAGGUUUCCGUUUCCAUCCCCUCCCCCCGAAAGAAAAAACGGCCCCACUCCCGGAUCUGCCCCACCACGAUCACCACCACCGCUGCCGCCGCCGCCGCCGCCGCCAUCUGCUGUCGCCCUCUAGGGUUGGACCGUUCUAGCUCUCUCCUCUGUGUGGAAUCGCAACGUCUUAGGGCUGUCGUGCUCCGCAGCCGUCACGUGUCGUGGAUCCUGGGCACCACCACGCCACCCCGCC